This 21731-nucleotide long non-coding RNA is filed under the name Ananas comosus (pineapple). Its description in RNAcentral is "long non-coding RNA (ACOM_LNC035150)". The record is from RNAcentral. Lineage: Eukaryota; Viridiplantae; Streptophyta; Magnoliopsida; Poales; Bromeliaceae.
GAAAUUAGGAGCUAUACACUUCAAUUUAACUCCACUUUCUAGAGUUAUCAAAAUACCCAAUCACGAUACUUUCGCUUACAAGUCAAAUAGACCUCGUCUCUCAUGAGCCUAUUUCCUAUAGUCCAACCGGCCUAAGGUUUGCUAGGUUCACUAAGACUAAACCCUAGGCUCUGAUACCAAACUAAUCUGUCACGCCCCAGGACCCAGCGGAAGCCCGCCUAGCGCAUGUCCAGACCCGCCGUAUGUCUAAAACAUAUAAGGCAUCUAGAACAAAACGAUAAAUAAGAACAUCGAGAAGCAUCAGAGCGGAGUAUAUCUAGAAGCUACAAUAAGGGAAGAGAACAUAAAAGUAAGUCUACUAAGUAAAAACAUAAAGUGAAUACAAUAGGAAUCCCAAUACAAAAGCUAAACAAGUACAUAGGUGGUCUCUCUACACAUAUUACUCAAAACUCUCUCUCUCACAAAAACCAAAAAGAAGAGAGUGACCACCUAGGAGCAACAGCAAGCUUCACUAUCUAGCUAUGCGACUUCCUUGCCGCGAUCCCGUGCCUCCGCCGGUGCCGAAAGCUCUGAAAUAAAACCAUAAAACAGGGGGCGUGAGAACUAUUGAAUAAUAGUUCCCAGUGGGCAAUUACUAGCUUCAGUGAAAUGCACCACUAGGCCGAAACUAAAAAAGGUUCAGUAAGCAGAUAUAAACAAAGCGAUAUGUACGACGAGUAAAUAAGCAAGAAUAUUUGCUAUCACAUGAUAUCUCUACUUAGCAUGAUUUAGCAUAAGUAAGAAAAGCUAUUCUCAUAAGAAUGUACCCAAGCAUCGCUAGUAAGAUGUUCAUAAGUCAAAUAGUAAAGAUGUCAUUGCUUACUAUUCUAAUCAAUGUCACAUGGUAUGAUGAAUGCUCAAAAUCAAAUCUGAAGAGACCCGCCCGAAGGCUGUCUGGCCCUGAGACCCACCCGUAGGCUGUCUAGCCAGUGCCGAGCCUAAUGGCCCCGUGGUAGUCAACAUCCCUACUCUAGGAAUGAGCCUUUUCCACGGCAAUCCACUUCGGUGCCCAAUUCGGCCCGCACGGCGAAUAUGUAUCGCGAUGGCCAUCUCCGGAGUGCCGGCUUGUCGGGAGCGACCCUCACAAGCAUGUGCGAAUGAGCAUAAUGGCAAGUAACAAAAGAUCCAUCUGAAGUACUAAGUCCUCAUGUCUAGCAACAUGGAAUACGUCAUAACUCUCUCAUAGGCCUAUCUCUAUGUCAUCAUGUCUAAAACAUGGAAGGUAGUAGAUGUCCAUGGCCUAUCACUAAGUCAAUACAAUAGUCUCAUAAUGUGCUAGUCUAAGUGCCCCUUUAUGACACUUUCAUUUACUAAGUCCAAGCUUAACCCAAAUGUUCAUAAAUGCAUAAUUGAGCCACUUUAAACAUAUGAGGCAUGUUUCCAAACGGCUAGGGCAAACACUACUCAAAUGCAUGUAACAAUACCCAGAAUGCUCUACUAUAUAGAGUAAAAAUUAUCUUACACAUAACACAUGCAUUUUAAGUGCUCUAAAAUUCACAUAAAUUCCAUUUAGCAUAGAUUUGCAUUUAAAAUGACGUUACGACGAGUAUAGAAAGCAUGGGGGUCAUUUCGCCCCGUUUUCAUGAAGCCAAACCCACCACAACUCUUGUGCUCCUUCGUUUGCUCUAACGAAGGUGUCCACUAGUCUUCUAGCACCCUAAAGAUGUAGGAACAAAAGUUAAACGAACCUUACGAUCAACCCUAAGCUCAAUCAAUAAGCAACAUAGGCUAAGGUGGGGAAAACUCACCUCAAGUGAAGAAAUCCUCUCUCAAACUCCAAAUGGGAGUUAGAGUUCUUCAAAUCCAACCUAAAUAAAGGUUCUAAAUUCAUCAAUUAGGUCUCCAAGCCCUCCAAUCAAAAAUCCCCAAAAUAAACCCUAAAUCUCAUUUCUAGGGUUUUAUAUGGUAAAACCUACCAAAACAUAGAUCAAAGGCUAGAAUCAAGGUACUAACCUCUCUAGAUGCUCUAAAACAAGCUUCAAAUCUUCUAGGGUUGAAGAUUGAUCCUCUAUCAAGCUCCUUGCCUAAGCUCCAAGCCUCCAAUGGUGAGCAAAGGGAGAGGAAGAUGCUCCAAAGCCUCAAGAUCAUGCUCUCCUCCAACCCCUUCUUCUUAUCUCCUUCUUCUUCUCUCUCUAAAGUGAGUGUGAGGGAGAGAAAUGAGGGAGUGAGAGAGUGGAAGGACCAUAAAAGCCCUCUCAACUAACAAUAUCCUAAUAAGCCCUCCAACAAUCCAACCAAAGCAUCAGCCCGGACUGGGCAAAAUUCGCCCAGAGGGACCGGUCUCUCCUUGCCUGGGACCAGUCUCUCGGUUCGUCCCGCAAAACUAGCGUACGGGAACCGGUCUCCCCAGCCGGGGACCGGUCGCAUUGCCAUAGGGGACCGGUCUCCCCGAUCAGGGACCGGUCUCCGAGAGUGAAAACUCUCAGGACUGCCCAGAACUCAGAUUUUUCGAGCUCUUUAAGUCGAAACACCUUCCACGACCUUCCACCAAGUGUGGAAAAGCUCGGAACCCAAGUCAAACACUCGAACCUCGCAAUUUGUAAAGGUCCAGUGUGCUACAAGCUCUCCUUCCCCUCCUCCUUCUUCUCCUUCUUCUUCUCUUUCUAAAGGGUGAGAGAGAGAGUGUGAGAAAGGAAUGAAGGAAAGAGAGAAGGGAAAGACCAUAUAACUCCUUCUCAAGCAACAAAAUCCAAAAAGCCCCCUCAACUCAUCAACCAAUGCACUGCCUGGUUUGGGCAGUUUUCGAGCAAAGGGACCGGUCUCUUCCUCCCAGGGACUGGUCCCUCAGGACCCUCUCGCAGUCACGCAUACGGGAACCAGUCUCCCUAGCCAGGGGACCGGUUGCAUCGGUUGUGUCACGCCCUCGCCCUGAGACCCCUACCAAUUUGGCAUGGUUCGGGCGCACCGGGCGGACCGCCGAACGGACAGCACCUCCUCUGCCCGCCCAAGGCUCAACAACAGAUUGAAUACAAGAAUUUACCCAGGAAUUUAAAUUCUACAAGUACACAAUCAACAUGGCACAAACAGUGCCAACAACAACAAGAGCAAGUGAUCCACUAGAUAUACAAGUGAAAUAAAGAGAGUACUUUACUAACUAUUACAAUAGUUUACUUUCAUUUACAUUUACAUAUUUUCUCAAAAUGAAUACAUUUGUUCAUCCAAAAUACAUAGCUCUCCAAACCUCACCUACAUGAAUCUCUCUCAAUACAUAGGUGCUAAUACAAAAGGAAAGCUACUAUACUACCACGGUCUCACUGAUCGGGCGCGAUGCCCUUGUCGCGGUCCUCUCUCGGCAACCCUGUACCUACCACUGGAAAUAGAGUGGGGUGAGAACUAUCUUCCAUAGUUCCCAGUGGGCUCGACCACCGACUCCACCGGUCUCCCCACUAGGUCCAAGUGGGUACAAGUAACAACAAGAUAGAUAUAUAGAUAGAUAUCUCAAAGCUGUAAAUGACAUAAUAGGAAAUCUAUGCUACUAUGCCCAUAAUCAUGUGUAAUGAAUGCAUGCAUCGUAUAGUAAGGGUUUACUACCAUGCUAACAAGUUCGAUCCAUGUUCGAAUAAUAAUGUUCAAUGACAAUACUUGUUUUCCAUUUACCCAAUCUAUGGCGAGACCCUUGGGUUCGCCCUCAACUCACCUUUCCAUCCCAAUUGGGUAGGGGAGCUCCAUGUGCCCCCAAACCCGGGAUUAUCUGCGGACCUCCAUGUGGUCCCUAUCGCCCGACACUUCGGAGUACUCGACAACCAAUCCUCUCCAUGUGAGGAUAUGGAUGGCUAUACCACCCCAAAUAACAGACCAUGAGCUUGAUCUAUUCUCUCCACGUGAGGAUACCCUACCAUCUAGGGCCAACAGCACAAUCAAAACUCGUCUAUGUCCUCUCCAUGUGAGGAUACUCUAUAAACUAGGGCCAACAACACUCGGAAGUCAUUUAUUCCGACCAACAUGCAAUUGCACUUAGCUGUACUAAGUUCUUUGUCUACAAGGCAUUUUCUAAGGGAUCCACCUAUCCUUAGGUUCUCAAACCUCUAGUGUCAAGUACACUACUUUAAUACCACUCAAUAUGUUCUUUAAACACUUAGAUGCCAUUUUCUAUGUUACCAAACACCCAUCGUGUCCAUCUCUUUUCUUUAGCACUAUAGGAUCCACGUUUCGACCCAAUCCUUACCUAUUCAUUUUCACGAAGUAUUCCAUGUACACUAGGUUAACAUUUAGAAGCAUAAAAAAAAGGCAUUACAAUGUAAUCCUACAAUGCAACAUGCAAGAGAUGAGAUUAUGCUAUUCUAAGACAUAGAAAAAAGCUCGGUUGCUUCGGGAUGACACCUCCCUUCUUUUCUCAUUGUAGAGGUUCUAGAAACGCUCUUCGGCGAACUUUACGAUGAAGUCUUGGCUUCCUUGGUCCAAAACGACGCUCAAUCGGCCUUAUUUUGCCGAUAGCUUUUCUCCCGCUCGACGAAUCGAAAUUCCGACUUCGCCCCCGCGUUUCGACACCUAGCAAUUAGGUUUACAAGGCAUCAAAUGAGAUCAAUCUCAUACUUUACCAAAAACCCCAUUUUGGGUGCCCUAGGGUUCCAUCUUGCUAUUUGCACCAUGAACCCUAGCCUCUAGCUCUAAUCCACUAUCAAUGGUGUUAGAGGUCCAUUUUACCUCAUUUCAAAAGUUCAAAACCCAAAAACCCUAGAUUCUAUAUGUUAGGGUUCAAGAGCUUACCUCUAGGUUAGCUCCAAGGGAAGAGGAGAGGGAGGUGGAGAUGUCCAAAGCCUUUCCCUUUGAUCUCCUUCUUCUUCUUCUCCUUUCCUUCCUUCUUCUUCUUCCUCUUUUCUUCUUCUUCCUCUCCUUUGUUCUUUCUUUUCUAGAGAGAGAGAGGGAGCAAGAGAGGGAGGAGAGAGAAAUGAGAGGCUGAGGGAGAGAGAGGGCCCAUAUGCUUCUCUAAUGUAACAAAAUCCAAUUUAACCCCUCUACUUUUCAUCCUGUACACAGCCCUCACUGGGCAGUUUUCGCCCAGAGGGACCGGUCUCCCCGACCUGGGAUUGGUCCCCGAGAGCCUCCCCAAAUAUCACGCGUUCGGGAACCGAUCUCUCCCCGAGAGACCAGUCCUCGGGAGACCGGUUCCCACCUGAGAGACCGGUUCCCGAGAGCUGGAUUUUCAGGACUUAGCCAUUUUUUGGCUUUUCUCGCUGGUGCCACGUUCGGGGACCGGUUCUCUCAACUUGGGACCAGUUGCAUCAGGGAUCCCCAGCAACCACCAGCCUCGGGGACCGGUCUCUCCCUGCCAGGGACCGGUCCCCGAGAGCAGAAUCUGCCCAGUGCAGAUUUUCGCAUCAUUGCUCUCGUGGACUCAAUUCCAAUGCACUUUUUGUGUUUUGUACAACUUUAGCUUUUCCGAAGGAUACUCACUCGACAAGUAGUCGAUCCUAGACAAAGUACAACUCUCGGAUUUCGAGAAUUCACUUUCUUACAGGCUGAUUGCCGCAACUAAGCUACGAGGGACCGGUCUCUCCCUCCCAGGGAUCGGUCCCCGAGAGCUAAACUUUUGGGAUAAAACCAAAAAUCUCGGAAAGCGAGCCGUGGGUCGGAACACUGUCAACGACCCUCCCAAAAACGUGGAAAGGCUCAGAACCAAAAUCAAACACUCGAACCUCGCAAUUUGCAAAGGUCCAGUGUGUUACAGUGUACCGGUACACUUUAGCAGUUUCCGAACUGUUGGAACUGCAGGGGUGUUUUUGCAUUGUGGCCUAUCUAUAUAUAACCCCACGCCCCUUUGACCUCCCCCUGAGCUUGGAACAGCAAGAGAGAAGGUAAGGGGACCCUCCACUUCAUUCAUUCCAUCUUCUUUUGAUUUAUUGGGAUUUUUGAAGAUUAAACUCUUCUUUUUGCUUUCUUCUCUUUCUUGGUGCCAUUUCUACCAUUGGAGAAGCCUUGGCUUGGUGUUUGGAACUUGUGGGAGGGAUUGUACUCAACCCUAGAGGACUCUAGGCUUGGUUUGAAGCUUCUAAGAGGUUGGUAGCAUGUUUUUUUCCUCUAAAUUCUAGUUUUAAUACUUUAAACUAGGUGAAACCCUAGAUUUGAGUUUAGAGUUAGAAUUGAGGAUUUUUGAGUUGAGGCUUUUUGAUCUUAAUUGAUUGACGUAGAACCUUCCUUUAGGUUAGUUUUGAAGGAUUGUUGCUCUCUUUGGGAGAUCAAGAGGCAUUUUCACCAUUGUCGGCGAGUUUUUGCCCUUAUGCUUCUGUUGUUUAAUGUUCGAACCUAGGAUUGUUCGUAACAUUCGUGUAUCAUUCCUUUUGUUACCUUUAGGGUACUAGGAGAGUGGUAGGCACCUUCGUUGAAGCAAACGAAGGGUUUCGUGAAAUCACGGUGGGUUUGGCUUCAUUGGAAUAGGAGGAAACUCCUCCUAAGUGGUUAAAUGUUUUCGUUUCAUCGCAUCGCAUGCAUAUCCAUACUAGAUAGAAUUUAUGUGAAUUUUAGAAUGCUUGAAAUACAUAUGUUAUGUAUUAUAAAAAUUCAUCUCUCUAUAGUAGAGCCUUAUGUGGAUUAAUAAUGCAUGUGAGUAGCAUUCUUCUUGGGCAUUGGAAACAUGUCUCGUUUGACGAAAAUGACUCUAAUUAUAUAUUCUUGAAUACUAAACUCAUGCUUGGACUUGGUGAACAAAAGUGCCAUAAAGGGGCACCGACUUAGUAAACUGUGAAACUGCAACAUAGAGACAUAGUGAUAGGCCAUUGUGACAUCUACUAUAUUCCAUGUUUUAGACAUGAUGACAUAGUGAUAGGCCAUUGAGACAUAUGUUAUAUUCCAUAUUUUUGACAUGAGGACUUGAAACUGGAGAUAGACUUAUAUGCUUACUUGCCUUUGUGCUCAUUCGCACAUGCUUGUGAGGGUCUCUCCCUACAAACCGGCACUCCGAAGAUAGCCAUCGCGAUACAUACUCGGGUGCGUGAUUCGGCGCAGAAGUAGAUUGCCGUGGGCAAGGCUCAUUCCUAGAGUGUGGGGAUGUUGACUACCACGGGGCCAUUAAGCACGGUACAGGCCAGACAGCCUACAGGUGGGUCUUUAGGCCAGACUGCCUUCGGGCGAGUCUUACAGGAUUGGAACUAUAUAAAGUUGAUAUGCCAAGUGGACUUGAACUAGAAUAGUAAACAAUGACAUCUUACUAUUUCUGUUGUGGACAUUAUGUUGGUUGCAUACUCAUGCUUAUUCCUGUUAGCAUAGCUUUCUUACUUGUGCAAAUCAUGCUAAGUAGAGACUUCAUGUUAUAGCAAGCAUUCAUGUUUAUUUACUUGCGGUUCAUUUCGGUUAUUACUCGAUUCUACUUACUUGCUUAGUUUUGAGCCCAGUGGCGCUUUUUACUGAAGUAAGUAAUUGCCCACUAGGAACUAUUAUUUAAUAGUUCUCACGCCCUCUGUUGAUGUCUUUUUCAAAGCCUUCAGCACCGGCGGAGGUACGGGAUCGCGGCAAGGGAGUCGCAUAGCUAGUUAGUGCGGAGCUUGCUUUUGCUCCUAGGUGGUCUACUCUCUUUUUGUGUUCUUGGUGAGAGAGAGUUUUGUUACCAUGUAUAGAGACCACCAUUGUACCACUUAUAGCUCUCGUAUUCGGAUUUUUGUUGUUCUACUUUAUGGUUUAGUUUAGUGGAUUUUAGCUUUUGUUGUACUCUCCUGUUGUAGAAUCUAGUAGUACUUUGCUCUGAUAUCGCUAGAUCUCUUUGUAUUAUUAUUUUAUUUAUUGCUUUAUUGUAGAUGCCUAUAUGUUUUAGACAUAUGGCGGGUCUGGACACGUGCCGGGCGCACUUCCGCUGGGCCCCGGGGCGUGACAGAUUAAUUUGGUAUCAGAGCCUAGGGUUGAGUCUUAGUGGACCUAGCAGACCUUAGGCCGGUUGGACUAUAGGAAAUAGGUUCAUGAGAGACGAGGUCUAUUUGACUCGUAAGUGAAAGUAUUUUGAUUAGGUAUCCUUGAUAACUCUAGAAAGUGAAGUUAAAUCGAAGUGUAUAGCUCCUAACUUCGCGGAGGGUUACGUUGGUGGCCAACAACGUAACCUCGGGAGUUAGUAGUGAAGAGCACUUCCUUACUUUCGCAUGAUUUGGGUAUUAUCUACUUGAGCGUGGAUUCGAUAGCGUGAGUUUAACUAACUUGCGCUUUUAUGAUGUUCUAGUGCGAUGCCAAUCACUCGCUCUCAAUCUGCCAGAGCAGAUAAUGCGGCACAUUUGGAGGAGGUCGAGACCUCCGCUACCUCCGGAUCCGGCGAGGUCCGUGAGUUGAGGGGCCAGCUUGCGGCCCUCACUGACAUGGUAGCACAGCAGACGGAGGCAGCGCGUCGACAGAAGGCGCGGAUGAAGCAUCUGGAGGACCUCCUACUGCAGCAGGCGAAGGCUCGGGAGGCUCUGGUUCCUACACCACCUGCACCUGUGAAGGUGAUUGCACCGAGGGGGUCGUCCCCCGUCCUCGACACAUCGCGGACGACACUUGCGGUAGCGCCACGGGAGAAGGUGAUUGCAGCACCACCAACUCAGGUUCCUUUAGCGAGGGCGGCUUUCCCCGUGACAACUGUUGGAGAGGAGCGAGACCGACUGAUGGAGCGCCUCAACGAGUUCAGGAGGUGCAGUCCCCUAAUCUUCGAUGGAGAGAAGGUCGACCACUGGAUCGUGGAAAAGUGGUUGAUGCAUAUAGAGAAGCAAUUCCGCGACAUCUUUGUGGAGGAGAGGGAUCGAGUGUGGCUCGCCACUCAUCACUUGGACGGCGAGGCCUAUCGCUGGUGGUUGGAUAUUUAGGAAAAUCCCAGCACGAAUUUGGCGGUUAUUUCUUGGAAGAAGUUCAAGGAGCUUCUAUUGGCGCACUACUUCCCUGAUAGCGUCAAGAGGAAGAUGGAGCAGGAUCUGGGCAACUUGCGCCAGGGAGACCGAACAGUGGCCGAGUAUGAGAGGGAGUUUUCUCGGCUUCUUCACUGCGUGCCUUUCGUCGUGCGGGACGACGAGGACAAGACCCGCAUCUUCGAGCGAGGAUUGCGACUGUCUAUCUUUCGGUUCGUGCAAUCCUCUAACCUCCGAACUUACCUGAAGGUGGUGAACCGCGCGCUCAUUAUAGAGAGCAGCGCGGCGGAUUUGCAGGAGCGGCGAGAAGGCAUGGACAAGGGUAAGGGCAAAAGGCCCGUGGCGGAGGGUGCGUGUCAGACGCACUUUAGGAGGCCGCUGAAGCACCCUAGGAGCCAGUAGCGUGGGCGCGGCUCAGCAGCGCAGCGAGGAGGUACCGAUCAUCGCCGGCCUCCGUGUGUGAUCAGUGGUGGUCCCCACUUUCCACCGCAGUGUCCACAGCGGGCAGGCAGGUGCUUCCAGUGUUGCCAGGAGGGCCACAUCCGGACCGAGUGCCCGAGGGGUUCGUCACCGGCACCGUCGACUGCAUCGGCACCGGCUCUACCAGCCGCCAGCCAGGGGACUCCAUCGGCACAGUACCAGCCUGGACAGUCACCCAUCCAACGUCAGGGCGAGGGAUCUCGACAGGCCCCGAGUGGGCAUUUGUAUGCCGCUCAGACCGUGAAGACGGCCGCAGCCGAGGAUGUGAUUGCAGGUAUCAUUUUACUUGAUGGCAUUAGAAUUCGUGCAUUGUUUGAUACCGGUGUAUCACAUUCAUUCAUAGAUCGGUUAUUUGCCGAGUUGCAUGGCAUCCCUUCGGUUUCUUUGUUGUAUCCGGGACAGGUUGUAGUACCCGACCACACUCUGGAUAUUCGAGAGUUUUGCCCUAGUUGCCCUGUUCGAGUAAGAGAUUGAAUUAUGCCCGUGGAUCUGCUAGCUUUGCGCAAGCUGGGGGAGUUUGAUGUGGUCUUGGGUAUGGAUUGGUUAACUAAGUUUUAUGCCACGAUCGAUUGCAAGAAUCGCAUGGUUACUUUUAGAGAACUGGGGCAGACUGAGGUUGUGUUUAAAGGAUGCCGGAGUUCGCUGUUUGGGAUGACGAUCAGCUCGUCUCGAGCUAGGCAACUGAUCAGGAGAGGCUGCAUAGCCUAUUUGGCUAGUGUUGUUGUGAGGGGCGAUUAUGACACCCCUCGGAUUGAGGAUACCUCGGUGGUGCGGGAGUUUCAGGACGUGUUUCCAGCUGAGCUACCAGGUAUGCCCCCUGAUAGGGAGAUUGAGUUUGUGGUGGAUCUCAUCCUUGGGACUACUCCAAUCUCAAAGGCACCCUAUAGGAUGGCACCGGCAGAACUGAAGGAGUUGAGGGCACAGCUGCAGGAUUUGUUGGACAAGGACUUCAUUCGAUCAAGCGUCUCGCCUUAGGGAGCGCCAGUUUUAUUCGUCAAGAAGAAGGAUGGAUCGCUGCGUCUAUGCGUGGAUUACCGUGAACUUAAUAAAGUCACGAUCAAGAAUAAGCAUCCGUUGCCGAGGAUCAAUGACUUAUUUGAUCAGCUUCAAGGAUCGAGUGUGUAUUCCAAGAUCGACUUGCAGUCGGGAUACCACCAGUUAAAGAUCAAACCCGAGGAUGUAUCGAAGACGGCUUUUAGAACACGGUAUGGACAUUAUGAGUUCACCGUUAUGCCGUACGGGCUUACUAAUGCCUCGGCAGCUUUUAUGGAUUUAAUGAACCGUAUUUUUAAGCCUUACCUAGACAGGUUUGUCGCGGUGUUCAUCGACGACAUUUUGGUUUAUUCCCGAAGUGAUGCAGAUCACGAGGAACAUGAGGAUUGUACUUCAAGUACUUCGGGAAAAGGAGCUUUAUGCGAAGUUAAAAAAGUGUGAAUUUUGGCUUCGAGAAGUGGCAUUCCUUGGGCAUCUGAUUUCGCGAUCAGGUAUAGCUGUGGAUCCUAGAAAGAUUGAGGCUAUCAAGGAUUGGCCGAGACCGACGAGCGUCACAGAGAUACAGAGCUUUCUUGGAUUGGCCGGUUAUUACCGAAGAUUUAUCGAGGGGUUUGCUAAGUUAAAGGCUCACGCAUAAAGACAUCAAGUUCAUUUGGAACGAUGCGUGUGAAAGGAGCUUCCAAGAGUUGAAGCAAAGAUUGACGACUGCCCCGAUCCUAACCCUGCCGGUUGCUGGAGUAGGGUAUGUGGUUUAUAGUGAUGCUUCAUUUAAUGGAUUGGGUUGCGUUUUGAUGCAGGAUGGCAAGGUGAUCGUGUAUGCUUCUCGCCAAUUGAAGGAAUAUGAAAGGAACUAUCCUACAGAUGAUCUAGAGUUGGCGGCCGUAGUCUUUGCAUUGAAGUUAUGACGCCACUAUCUUUAUGGCGAACGGUGUGAAGUAUACACGGAUCACAAGAGCUUGAAAUAUCUAUUCACUCAGAAGGAGCUGAACUUGAGGCAGCGCAGAUGGUUGGAGCUGCUCAAGAAUUAUGAUCUGACUAUUCUUUACCACCCGGGCAAGGCUAACGUGGUGGCGGAUGCGCUAAGUAGGAAAUCGACGAAAAACUUAGUCUUGCAUAUUGUUACUCAACCGUAAGUGAUCGAGCAGAUGAAACGGUUGGAGUUGGAAGUGGUGACACCUGAUACACCCUUACGGUUGAUGACCUUGGUAGUGCAACCUACACUGUUGGAUAGAAUUAAAGAAAGGCAAGUUUCCGAUGUGGAAUUGCAAAAGAUUAGAGACAAAAUGUAGUUGCACCGGCGAUUUCCUUGUGGAUGACCAAGGAUUGAUGCGUUUUCGUGGACAGUUAUGUGUACCGGCGGAUUCGGGACUUAAAGAAGAUAUUAUUCAAGAAGCACACCGACCACCCUAUACUAUACAUCCGGGAGGCACCAAGAUGUACAAGGACUUAAAGUUGCACUAUUGGUGGCCCGGGAUGAAAAAGGACAUUGGUGAGUUUGUUGCUAGAUGUUUAACUUGCCAACAAGUAAAGGCUGAGCACCGAUUACCCGCGGGAAAACUUCAGAGUUUGCAGAUCCCCAUGUGGAAGUGGGAGAAGAUCACUAUGGAUUUCGUGAUGGGAUUGUCUCGCUCUCACGCCUGGCAUGAUGCCAUUUGGGUGAUCGUGGAUAGGUUGACGAAGUCGGCGCACUUCAUACCUAUACAUACUACCUGGACUGGAGAGAAGCUCGCACAAGUGUACCUGGAUGAGAUUGUGUGACUUCACAGAGUGCCUACCUCGAUUGUAUCUGACCGAGACACCCGAUUUGUGUCUCACUUUUGGAAGAGUCUGCAGGACGCCUUAGGCACUCGAUUGGAUUUCAGCACUACUUUCCACCCUCAGAGUGAUGGGCAGUCGGAGCGCACUAUUCAGACUUUAGAGGAUGUGCUCCGAGCAUGUGUGAUAGACUUCCAGGAAGGAUGGUCAUAGCAUCUACCGAUGGCAGAGUUUGCUUAUAACAACAGUUAUCAAGCAAGCAUCAAGAUUGCGCCCUUCGAAGCACUUUAUGGACGGAAGUGCAGAUCGCCACUUCAUUGGAGUGAAGUUGGUGAGAGAUUGGCUUUAGGCCCUGAUGUGCUCCAGGAAGCUGAGAACAAGGUUCGUAUUGCUCGGGAGCCACUUUUGACGGCACAGAGUAGACAGAGGAGCUACGCCGAUCGACGGCGACGAGACUUGGAGUUCCAAGUUGGAGAUCAUAUUUUCUUGAAGGUCUCGCCGACCAGAGGGAUCCGGAGAUUCGGGAUUCGGGGAAAGUUGAGCUCCCGAUUUGUUGGACUGUAUGAGGUUUUGGAGUGGGUGGGCCCGGUAGCGUAUCGACUUGCUCUACCACCGAACCUAUCAAGCGUACACAACGUCUUUCAUGUAUUGGUCCUUCGGAAGUAUAUUGUCACGCCCCGGGACCGGCAGAGGCCCUCCCGGUAGCAUGCCCAGACCCACUAUAUGUCAACACAUAUAAGGCGUCUAAACAACAGCGGAAAAGUAAAGCCAAAGAUAAUCUACAUCUAGAGAUAUUAGAGCACAGAUUGAUCUAUCAUCUAUAACAAGGUAAAAGAAAAAUACUAUAACAAUAAAAGUGAAGCAUAUAGUUAUACAAUAACUAUCCAAAAUGGUACACAAAAGGGUGGUCUCUAGUACACUAGUACAGCUCUCAACCUCUCCAAAAUAAAAACAUCGAGAGGUAGACUACCUAUCAACUCGUCUCUCGCUGAAGAGCUAGCUCAAAGCAACGCCCUUUCCGCAGUCCCUAGCCUCUCCCGGCGUGGAAGGCUCUGAAAGAAAGCAUAAAACAGAGGGCGUGAGAACUAUAAAUUAUAGUUCCCAGUGGGUAAUUACUGACCUCAGCUCAAUACACCACUAGGCCCCAAAGAAAGGGUAAGUCAAAAAGAGAGCAAUAAUAAUGAAUAAUUUGCAUUUAAGAAAGCAUAAUUAAAAUGCUAUGAUACUACAUUGUGUCAAUUAAGAUGCACCUUUAUUUCAUAAUGAACAAGUAUGUCCCUACAUGACCACAAGUAACAAUCAUGAUUUGUUUUAUGAAAUUAUGAAAAUCAUGCUCAACUAGGGUAAACAAUGUUUACAUGAAUGCAAUAAGCAAUAUCUCCUAGCAUACUACAUGUAUGUAAGUAUAUUCAAGUGUCCAAAACUAUACUAGAAGUAAGUCCAAGUAAUCCAACUACUACUCUCUAUCUAGUAGUGAUUAUAACACACUCAACACCGUGUCGAUUUCUAUUUCCAAUUAAGGACCUACCCAAGGUAGUCUAGCAUGUGCCGCCUAAGUGCCUGUGGUAGCCCUACAUUCCUGCUCUUGGAAUGUGUCUGUCCCACUCGACCCCGUAGGCUUCUUAAUACCGCACGAGCGAACAUAGGUCGCAUAGGCUAACUCCGGAGUGCCGGCUUGUAGGGAGCGACCCUCACAAGCAUAUGCGAAUGAGCACAAAUGGAAAGCAAGCGUAAUCAAAGGCUCAAGUAUCCAACCCUCAUGUCUCGAACAUGGCAAUAGCUACUAGUAACCCAACGGUCUAGCUCUAUGUCACAAUAUGAUAACCCAACACCCACUGGCUUAGUGCCUCUUAUGACACUUAAGCAUCACAACUAAUCAAGCCCAAAUCACGUUCUAUGUUCCCAUUUAAGACAUUAAUACUAAUGUUCACUAUAGCCCGGGCCCAAUGCCUCUUAUGACAUUGGCCCAAUUUCUCAAAUAGUCUAAGUCCCAAGCCUCUCUAGGCUUCCAAAGUCUCUAAUGUCACAAUUGGACAUGAAGGUUAAAUGCAUAAAGUAAUGUUCAUUUUCAUAUUAGGAAUCAUGGUUCCAAGUCUCAACUAGAAUGCUAUAUCUCACAUGCAUGCACUCUACCACAUAGAGGUUCAAAAAUUUACUACACAUUACAUAGGCAUGUUAAGCAUUCUAAAAUUCAUAAUAAAUAUAUCUAAUAUGAUUAUGCAUGCUUUAUCAUUUAACGAUACUCAAAUCAUCACAAAUGAGAUUUUCUCAUUAUGUGGCUAGGUCAAACCCACCAAACCGUCGCGUAGUCCCUCGUUUCGCCGAACAGAGUUGUCCACGAGUCUCAAAAUAUCCUAAAAGUAAUGAGCGAAGAGAUACACGGGCAUUACGAUCAUCUAUAAGCUCAAACACUAACAAUCAUAAGAAAUGGGCAAAAACUCACCUAAGGAGUAGAAAAUCUCUCCCAAGCUCCAAAAAAGAGCUAAAUCCCUUCCAAUCCAACCCAAAGGAUGGUUCUAAUCCAAUCAAUUUAGCUCAAAAGGCUCUAGAUUCAAAAAGCCCAAAACAAAUCCUAAGUUCCGAAUCUAGGGUUUCAUCUCAAAACCAUCAAUAAAAUUCCAAUCUAGAAGGAGAGAACAAGUAGAUUACCUCUUAGAAGCUUCAAUCCAAGCUCCAAACUCUCUAAGUGCCAAGAUCUUCCCUCAACCAUGCACCAAAACCAAGCUCCAAUCUUCAUCAAUGGUGGAAAAGGCUCCAAAAGGCAAAAAGAAGAAUUAAGGGAAAACUUCGAAAACCCCCCUUGUGGUUUCAAUUUUUUUCACUUUAGUACCCUGUGGUUUAAAAUGUAUCAAGUUAGUACCUUGUGGUUUCUCACUUUAUCACUUUAGUACCCUGUGGUUUAAAGUGUGUCAAGUUAGUACCCUGUGGUUUUGCAUUUUAUCACUUUAGUACCCUGUGGUUUUGAUUUUGUAUCAAAUUAGUACCCUAUGGUUUUUUAAACUAUAGGGUACUAAAGUGAUAAAGUGUGAAACCACAGGGUACUAAAGUGAUAAAGUGCAAAACCACAGGGUACUAACUUGAUACACUUUAAACCACAGGGUACUAAAGUGAUAAAGUGAGAAACCACAGGGUACUAAUUUAAUACAUUUUAAACCACAGGGUACUAAAGUGAUAAAGUGAGAAACCACUGGGUACUAACUUGAUACACUUUAAACCACAGGGUACUAAAAUAAAAAAGUGUGAAACCACAGAGGGGGUUUUUGAAGUUUUCCCAAGAAUUAAUCCACCAAAAUCCAUCCAAAAUAGAGAUCAAAUCAAAGGAGGGGGAGAGAGGGCCUCACUCACCUUGUUCUCCACCCUUCUCAGCUCACGGGAGAGCCCUAGGGGCGUGGGGAUACAUAUAGAAGGCCACAAUUGUGAAAAACCCCCUGCAUUCAAACUGCUCAAAAACUGCCACUGCGUACCGGUACACGGGCCCACGUACCGAUAUACAUCCCACGAAAAUGCCAAACCCGAGCCUCGGAUUUGCCUCAAAACUGCCUGUGUACCGGUACACAAUCCCGUACCGGUACAACCAUCAACCCUAUACCGGUACAACCAUCAACCCUGUACCGGUACACAGCCCAAUAAGGGCUACCCGAGAGCUAACCAAAAAUUCGAUUUUUUCGGGUUUUGGUGCUAGGCUUCAGACCUCAAUCCUCGGGGUUCGAACCAUAGGUCGGAACACUGUCUACGACCCACCAGAAAGUCUAGAGAAACUCAGAACACAUCAAAUCACUCGAACCUCGCAAUUUGCAAAGGUCCAGUGUGUUACAUUCACCCCUACUUAAAAGGAGUUUCGUCCGCGAAACUCAAAAGUAAAGUACCUCAAGCCUCCAUCUGAAAAAGAUGGGAAUAGCGCUUCCGCAGUGCGCUCUCCAACUCCCAAGUGGCCUCACGCUCGUCGUGGUUGCUCCAAAGCACCUUCACGUAGGAAAUCUCAUGGUUCCGCAGCCUCUUUACCUCGCGAGCCAAAAUUCUUAAAGGUUGCUCUUCAAAGCUCAGAUCAUCCCUCAGCUCCACUGGUGUAGCGUCCAACACAUGAGUCGGAUCAUGGAUGUACCUCCGAAGGACCGAUACAUGAAACACAUUGUGCACACCCGAUAGGUUUGGCGGUAGAGCAAGUCGAUACGCUACCGGGCCUACACGCUCCAAAACCUCAUACGGUCCAAUGAAUCGGGGACUCAACUUACCCCGAAUUCUAAAUCUCCUAACCCCUCUGGUCGGCGAGACUUUCAAGAAGACAUGAUCUCCAAUCUGAAACUCCAAGUCUCGUCGACGCUUAUCAGCAUAACUCUUUUGCCUACUCUGGGCUGUCAACAGUUGCUCUCUAGUAAUGCGAACCUUGUCCUCUGCUUCCUGGAGCACAUCGGGGCCUAAAGCCAAUCUCCCGCCAACUUCACUCCAAUGAAGCGGCGAUCUACACUUCCGUCCAUAAAGUGCCUCGAAUGGUGCCAUCUUGAUGCUUGCUUAAUAACUGUUGUUAUAAGCAAACUCUGCCAUAGGUAGAUGCUGCGACCAUCCUCCCUGGAAGUCGAUCACACAGGCUCGAAGCAUGUCCUCCAGUGUCUGUAUAGUGCGCUCUGACUGCCCAUCACUCUGAGGGUGGAAAGCCGUACUGAAGUCCAAGCGCGUGCCCAAGGCAUCCUGUAAACUCCUCCAAAAGUGAGAUACAAAACGGGGGUCUCGAUCUGAUACUAUAGAAGUAGGUACCCCGUGUANNNNNNNNNNNNNNNNNNNNNNNNNNNNNNNNNNNNNNNNNNNNNNNNNNNNNNNNNNNNNNNNNNNNNNNNNNNNNNNNNNNNNNNNNNNNNNNNNNNNNNNNNNNNNNNNNNNNNNNNNNNNNNNNNNNNNNNNNNNNNNNNNNNNNNNNNNNNNNNNNNNNNNNNNNNNNNNNNNNNNNNNNNNNNNNNNNNNNNNNNNNNNNNNNNNNNNNNNNNNNNNNNNNNNNNNNNNNNNNNNNNNNNNNNNNNNNNNNNNNNNNNNNNNNNNNNNNNNNNNNNNNNNNNNNNNNNNNNNNNNNNNNNNNNNNNNNNNNNNNNNNNNNNNNNNNNNNNNNNNNNNNNNNNNNNNNNNNNNNNNNNNNNNNNNNNNNNNNNNNNNNNNNNNNNNNNNNNNNNNNNNNNNNNNNNNNNNNNNNNNNNNNNNNNNNNNNNNNNNNNNNNNNNNNNNNNNNNNNNNNNNNNNNNNNNNNNNNNNNNNNNNNNNNNNNNNNNNNNNNNNNNNNNNNNNNNNNNNNNNNNNNNNNNNNNNNNNNNNNNNNNNNNNNNNNNNNNNNNNNNNNNNNNNNNNNNNNNNNNNNNNNNNNNNNNNNNNNNNNNNNNNNNNNNNNNNNNNNNNNNNNNUGGAUAGGUAUGAAAUGUGCCGAUUUCGUCAAUCUAUCCACGAUCACCCAUAUAGCAUCAUGCCCGGCCUGCGAGCGAGGCAAUCCCAUCACAAAGUCCAUGGUGAUCUUAUCCCAUUUCCACACCGGAAUCGGUAAGCUCUGCAAUUUUCCUGCGGGGACUCGGUGCUCAGCUUUAACCUGUUGGCAAGUUAGACAUCUAGCAACAAACUCACCAACGUCUUUCUUCAUCCCGGGCCACCAAUAAAGCAACUUUAAGUCCUUGCACAUCUUGGUGCCUCCCGGAUGUAUAGCAUACGGUGCUCGAUGUGCCUCUUGAAAAAUUUCUUCUUUAAUGUCCAAAUCCGCCGGUACACAGAUCCGUCCGUGGAAACGCAUCAAUCCCACACCGUCCACAGAAAAGUCACUGGUGCAACCAUCAAUCAUCUUAGCUCGAAUCCUUUGCAACUCCACAUCGGGGACUUGCUUUUCUUUAAUCCUUUCCACAAGUGUAGGUUGCACCACCAAAGUCAUCAGUCUCAAAGGUGUAUCAGGAGCCACCACCUCCAACUCCAACCGCUUCAUCUGCUCGAUCAACGGUGAUUGAGUGACCACAAGCAUCGCUAAGUUAUCCGUCAAUUUUCUACUUAGUGCAUCCGCCACCACGUUAGCCUUGCAUGGGUGGUAAAGAAUAGUCAAGUCAUAAUCCUUGAGUAGCUCCAACCAUCUGCGCUGCCUCAAGUUCAACUCCUUCUGAGUGAAUAAAUACUUUAAGCUUUUGUGAUCCGUAUACACUUCACAACGCUCGCCAAACAAGUAGUGGCGCCAUAGCUUCAAUGCAAAGACUACGGCCGCCAAUUCCAAGUCGUGAGUAGGAUAGUUCCUCUCAUAAUCCUUUAGUUGGCGAGAAGCAUACGCAAUCACCUUCCCGUCCUGCAUCAAAACACAUCCCAAUCCAUUAAAGGAAGCAUCACUAUAAAUCACAUACCCUGCUCCAGUAACUGGCAAGGUUAGGAUCCGGGCGGUAGUUAGUCUCUGCUUCAACUCUUGGAAGCUCCUUUCACACGCAUCAUUCCAAAUGAACUUGGUGCCCUUAUGCGUGAGCCUCGUGAGGGAAGCAGAUAAUCUUACAAAUCCUUCAACAAAUCGUCGGUAGUAGCCGGCCAAACCAAGAAAGCUCCGAAUCUCCGUGACGCUCGUCGGCCUCGGCCAAUCCUUAAUAGCUUCAAUUUUUCUCGGGUCCACGGCUAUGCCUGAUCCUGAAAUCAAAUGGCCCAAAAAUGCCACCUCUCUAAGCCAAAAUUCACACUUUUUCAGCUUGGCAUAGAGCUUCCUUUCCCGAAGUACUUGAAGUACAAGUCUCAAGUGUUCCUCGUGAUCCGCAUCACUUCGGGAAUAAACUAAGAUGUCGCCGAUGAAUACCACGACGAACCUGUCUAGAUUAGGCUUGAAAACACGGUUCAUUAGAUCCAUAAAAGCUGUCGGGGCAUUAGUAAGCCCGAAUGGCAUCACAGUAAACUCAUAGUGUAUAUACCGUGUUCUAAAAGCCGUCUUUGACACAUCCUCAGGCUUGAUCUUCAAUUGGUGGUAUCCCGACUGUAAGUCGAUCUUGCAAUACACACUAGAUUCCUGUAGCUGAUUAAAUAGAUCGUAUAUCCUCGGCAAUGGAUACUUAUUCUUAAUCGUGACUUUGUUAAGUUCGCGAUAGUCCACGCAAAAGCGAAGUGAUCAAUCCUUCUUCUUGACAAAUAGGACCGGUGCUCCCCAAGGUGACACACUCGGUCGCACAAAACCCUUAUCCAAAAGAUCCUGCAACUGUGCCUUCAGCUCCUUCAAUUCUGCUGGUGCCAUCCUAUAGGGCGCCUUUAAGAUUGGAGUAGUCCCGGGAACGAGAUCUACCACAAACUCAAUCUCCCUAUCAGGUGGCAUGCCUGGAAGCUCUGCUGGAAACACAUCCCCAAACUCCCACACUACGGGGAUAUCCUCAAUCCUGGGGGCAUCAUCAUCACCCCUCAACACAACAGUAGCCAAAUAGGCCACGCAGCCUCUACUAAUCAACUGCCUAACUCAAGAGGAGCUAAUCGUCAUCGCAAAUAGCGAACUCUGGCAUCCACGGUACACAACCUCCACCUGCCUCGGCUCUCUAAAUGUCACAGUUCGAUCUUUGCAAUCGAUAGUGGCGUAGUACUUAGUCAACCAAUCCAUGCCCAAGACAACCUCAAACUCCCCGAGUUUAUGCAAAGCUAAAAGGUCUACGGGCAUAAUCGAAUCUCCAACCCGAACAGGGCAACUGGGGCAGAACUCCCGAAUAUCUAAGGAAUGAUCGGGUACAACAACUCGUCCAUGAUGCAACAAAGAUGUCAGUGGGAUUCCAUGCAACUCGGCAAACAACCGGUCUAUGAAUGAAUGCGAUGCACCGGUAUCAAACAAAGCUCUAGCUCGAAUACCAUAAAGUAAAAUGAUACCUGCGACCACAUUCUCGGCUGCUGGCGCCUCCUCAGUCUGGGCCGCGUACAUGCGCCCGCUCGGGGCCUGUCGUGACCCCUCCGUCUGUCGCUGGACAGGUGGCCGCCCGGCCUCGUAAGGUGCAGGAAGUGUCCCCUGGCUGGGACCCGGUGAAGCUGGUGCUGAUGCCGAUGAUGGUGCUGGUGCUGAACCCCUCGGGCAGUCCGACUGAAAGUGGCCCUCCUGGCCACACAGAAAGCACCUGCCCCGACUGCGCGUGCACUAUCGUGGGAAGUGUGGGCCACCACAGAUCACGCAGCGCGGGGCCUGGCGUCGAUCAGAUCCUUCUCGCUGGGUAGACUAGCCACAUCCUCAUGACUGGCUCCGACUCCUGGGAUGCCUCGGCGGCCUCCGUGAGUGCGUCUGACUCGCACUCUCAGCCGCUGUCCUCUUGCCCUUGCCCUUGUCUAGGGCCUCGCGUCGCUCCUGAAGGUCUGCCGCUCCAGCCUCCAUAAUGAAUGCACGGUCCACAACCUCCCGAUAGGUUUGGAGGUUAGAGGACUACACCAACUGGAAAAUCGAAGGCCGCAAUCCGUGCUAAAAAAUGCGGGCCUUAUCCUCGUCAUCCCGCACCACAAAUGGUACACAGUGGAGUAGCCGAGAAAACUCCCUCUCGUACUCGGCCACAGACCGCUCCUCCUGGCGCAAGCUGCGCAAGUCCUGCUCCAUCUUCCUCUUGGCGCUGGUAGGAAAGUAGUGCGCCAGAAGCAACUCCUUGAACCUCGCCCAAGAGAUCGCUGCCAAAUCCAUGUUGGGGUUGUCCAGGAUAUCCAACCACCAAUGGUAGGCCUCGCCAUCCAAGAAGUGUGUGGCGAGCUACAUUCUGUCCCUCUCUUCCACAAAGGUAUCUCGAAAUAGCUUCUCCAUAUGCAUAAGCCACUUCUCCACUAUCCAAUGGUCCACGUUCUCCCCGUCAAAGGUCCGUGGACUGCAUCGCCUGAACUCACUAAGGCACUCCAUGAGCCGAUCCCGCUCGGCUCCCUCAACCAUCGCGGGGAAAACCGCCCCCGCUACAGAUGCUCGCGCCGGUGGUGCCACGAACUCCUCUCCCCGAAGCGCAAUAUCCGGUGAUAUCCUCGGAGUACCGGGCCCUAGAGAUAGCGCCCUCGGUGUCGCAAUCACUGCCGGUGCUGGUGGGGGUGUGGACACCUGUGACUCCCUAGCAGCCGCCUGCUACCUAAGCAAAUCCUCCAGUCGCUCCAUCCGCGCCUCCUGCCGAAGCGCCGCGUCCGCCUGCUGCCGUGCUGCCGCCGCCUGCUGCGCGACUAAGUCAGUGAGGGCCGCCAGCUGGCUCCUCAACUCACGAACCUCACCGGAUCCGGAGGUAGCGGAGGUCUCCACCUCCUCAAAGUUCGCCGCAUUGUCCGCUCCGAUAGACUUAGAGCGAGUCGUCGGCAUUGUCACUACAACAUCAUAAAAGCGCAAGUUAGUAAAACCCACGCUAUCGCAACCCCGCUCAAAAAAAUAAAUACCCAAAUCAGGCGAAAGUAAGGAAGUGUCAUUCACUACUAACUCCCGAUGUUACGUUGUCUGCCGCCAACAUAACCCUCCGCGAAGUUAAAAGCCAUACACUCCGAUCGAACUCUAACUUUUUAGAGUUACCAUCAAACCCAAUCGAAAUACUUUCGCUAACAAUUAAAUUAGACCUCGUCUCUCACGAGCCUAUUUCCUAUAGUCCAACCGGCCUAAGGUUUGCUAGGUCCACUAAGACUCAACCCUAGGCUCUGAUACCAAACUAAUCUGUCACGCCCCGGGACCGGCAGAGGCCCUCCCGGUAGCGUGCCCAGACCCGUCAUAUGUCA